Molecule: small RNA, 1474 nt
Filed under: Rattus norvegicus (Norway rat)
Lineage: Eukaryota; Metazoa; Chordata; Mammalia; Rodentia; Muridae
Description: uncharacterized LOC102555516
Source: RNAcentral
AAUGGUGUUGCUAUAAGGUUUGACCCUUUGAUAACUCUUGGUGGAUUAAGUGUCCCUAAUCAAGACAUCCAUUUUAGAUUACAUUCAAAGGAUCUUGUUUGUGUAUUAUUUUGAAUACUGUGAGACCUGGCUAUUCCCGGACAGUGGCUGAAAUGGCUUUCCAAGUAUGGGGCCUUCAGACUGCACCCUAGAUCUAAGACCUAGGAGCCUGCCUCAGUCUGAGAAGUUUCUCAAAAAAAAAAAAAGGAGGGGGCAUUACUUCCCAAUUAACUCAAUUAACUUCUUCUGGUGUUUAAGAAGCUACCAGGAAAUUAACCAAAUAAGGUCUCCUGCCUACUGUCUAUGUCUGAGGAACUCCGGGCCCUGGAAGUGAUUUCUUAAAGAAUGUACUAACCAACCUCAGGACUGCAAUUAGGUUCUACCAAGGAGAGGAAUGACAUCAGAGAAGGAGCCAUCUGUUUCCUGCUGAGCCCCCAACAGAGACACUUUCCAAUCAAGAAUGUACUGCAGCGAAUUCAAGAAGUACCAGUGUGGAACAUUAUAAGUGCCUCUGGGAGCAUCAACAGAAUAUUCAACAGAAUUUUCAUUUGUGAAUAUGGCUCGCACCAACAAAGGUACAGGGUCUCUCACUGAACCCAGGACAAGGCAGCCAUCUUCCAUCGAUGGGAUGGAGUUAACAAGCAGGUGUGUGUGUGACCACACCGGGUUUUCCCACGGGUGCUGAUGACUUGAACUCAGGGCCUUCAACUUGUCUAAAAGUAUCCUCCCACUUCUCGUGAUCUGUGGGAAAGAAUACAAAGUGUGAACAGAUAAGGAAAAUACACAAAGAAAUACAAAGUAGCAAGCAUACACAUUUAAAGGAGUGGAAAUUGUGUGGGAAGAGCGGCUUUGACGCUGAUGGAAGGCACAAAGCCCAGCUCAGAAAAGUCCCAUGCUGCCAAAUGGUCAGGAAGGUUUAAUUUUGUCCAAAAAAAAAAAAAGUCUGAAAAGCUGUAACAAAGCCCAAAAGCCAAGGUGCCACAUGUAGGCUGCAGAUGUGAACAGCGGCAGAAACCGUCCUUUCUCUGGGUUGAUGUAAAAAGACAACCCAAGAGUCUCACCGAGGCACACGCAAAACCAGCCAGGAAUGACGCUUUGAAGCCAUCCUUUAAAUGAACUGUCUCGGUGUCCUACAGUUCAUCAAAGGUUUCCUGUCUCUGAAAGGUCAGCCUCAUAUCCCUUACCCUUUCUGAAUCUCAGUCUCCUUUCAGCUCUUCACUGACAAACGGCGAGCAGGGGCCUCUUCGUCCUAACAAUCUCGAUUGCACAGUUCACAGAUUCUUAAGAUAAAUCACUACGCGAAUAUCAUAUACAGUCUUUGGUCUGUCUCACGGGUCUAUGUUAAAAAAUAAAAAUAAAAACCAAUACUUUUGUAAUAGCGAGGGGGUGUUGAAACCCUGAUUAAAUAAAGUGAGGUUAAAAACUCGGGAAGACA